AAAGGACAGGCAGGUCAGAACAUGGCUUGUUUCUAUUGUAAAACUUUAAACGGGAAAUAUGUUUGUGCUAUUUUAUACUUUUUUGAUGACUAGCUUUCUUGUUGAAUAGGCUGGUUUUAUCAGUUAUAUUGUUAUAAUAAUUUAUUGUGAUAAGGUUUUGAAUAGAUUGCAUUUUCCAUUUGAUUAUAUGUGUCUUCAGCUAAAAAGAUGGUUAAUAUUAUUAACACGUUGUGUUAGUUGAGAAAUAUGCAUGAAGCACCUCUGAAAAUUCUGACUCACGCUUAGAAUGACCUUAAAAAUAGAAUUAAAUGUUUUGAUCUCUUCACAUCUUCCCAAUACAUGAUGUUCAGCAUUAAAUCAUCAAUCACAGUGUGUUUGCAUAGUUCUAGUAAACAACUCAUAAUUAGCUCUUUCUAUAUAGGUCUUUAGUGUCUAUUAUGUAUUUAUCCACAGUAUAUGUAUCUUAAAAUUUUUUGCUGUUAUGGAGGCAGGCCAACUGUAUUUUUCUAUUUUCUGUAUAUGUUCUUCCCUUGGAACUCCUUUGUGCAUAUGAAACAAUGGAUAUUAUUUAGGAUCAUUGCAUGAUUAUCAGAAUAUGUGGAUUAUCAUCUACAGUUAGGUAAUUGUAUGCUUGGCCCUAAGACUGAUUAUCAUGCUUUCUACUUUCAACUAAACUGAAGCUGGAAUUGAUAUUAUAUUUUUAUUUGUUUCAGU
Molecule: unclassified non-coding RNA, 714 nt
Filed under: Hevea brasiliensis (rubber tree)
Lineage: Eukaryota; Viridiplantae; Streptophyta; Magnoliopsida; Malpighiales; Euphorbiaceae
Source: RNAcentral